UACGUAGGGGGCUAGCGUUGUCCGGAGUUACUGGGCGUAAAGGGCGCGCAGGCGGCGUUGUUGGCCCGGCGUGAAAGCCCCCGGCUCAACCGGGGAGGGUCGUCGGGGACCGCACCGCUUGAGGGCGGUAGGGGCUGGUGGAAUGCCUGGUGUAGUGGUGAAAUGCGUAGAGAUCAGGCGGAACACCCGUAGCGAAGGCGGCCAGCUGGGCCGUCCCUGACACUGAGGCGCGAAGGCGUGGGGAGCGAACGGG
Molecule: ribosomal RNA, 253 nt
Filed under: uncultured bacterium
Lineage: Bacteria
Description: partial 16S ribosomal RNA
Rfam family: Bacterial small subunit ribosomal RNA
Source: RNAcentral